RNAcentral lists this long non-coding RNA (660 nucleotides) under Parus major (Great Tit). RNAcentral's name for it is "lncRNA (ENSPMJG00000000874.1)". Lineage: Eukaryota; Metazoa; Chordata; Aves; Passeriformes; Paridae. The record is from RNAcentral.
CAUGUGCCAGCCCUUCCCUCCCUCUGCCAACACACUCUGCUUCCACAAGAAAAAUAUGCCAGCAUGUAUGACAAAAUCUGCAAAGGAAGGCGAGUGUGGACAAGUGGCACAAGACCCUGAAGCAAUGAAACAGAAGCUUCCUAAACCUUAACUGAAGGUGUGGGCACUGCUGGAUGGAUGAAAUCAAAGUCUCUGGAAAGCAAAAGAAAACCCAAAAAACAAAGGAGUUUAAAGACCUGAAACUUCUGCGAUAUCAACAUGUUCAGAAGCAAUUUCUGUUCAAAGUUCACAGCACUGCAGAGCAAUCUGAUUCUUAUCCAUUUUGAGUCACUACCCAUUGCCCCCAGCAUUGUCUGCAUAGAAACAAGCUGUUUUUAACGGGGCUGAGCCAAUGCUGAGGAACUCCACCCUUCCUCUGAGCGAGCACGUUACAAGAACCUGAAUGAGCCUCUCUCUCUUUGACAGAUCAGGCACUUACUGCUUAAUUACACAGAUGAGUAACACCAAUGAACGGCUGCUUUUUCUUGGGAGUUUGUUACAGGGGAAUGGAUGCGAAUUAGGCUGUAGAACAAAACAACUGUGGUGUAAAUAGCGUAAUUGCUGUCUUCUCGUCUGUGGCAAUCAAUGAGCUGUUGAGGCAUUUUACACGGCUGCCACGAG